This 270-nucleotide ribosomal RNA is filed under the name uncultured bacterium. RNAcentral describes it as "partial 16S ribosomal RNA". It matches the Rfam family "Bacterial small subunit ribosomal RNA", at positions 29 to 328 of the family's 1533-position model. The record is from RNAcentral.
AACGAACGCUGGCGGCAGGCUUAACACAUGCAAGUCGAGCGCCCCGCAAGGGGAGCGGCGGACGGGUGAGUAACACGUGGGAACAUGCCCUUUGGUUCGGAACAACUCAGGGAAACUUGAGCUAAUACCGAAUGUGCCGGUAACGGGAAAGAUUUAUCGCCAAGGGAUUGGCCCGCGUCCGAUUAGCUAGUUGGUGAGGUAAAGGCUCACCAAGGCUCCGAUCGGUAGCUGGUUUGAGAGAACGACCAGCCACACUGGGACUGAGACACG